This 205-nucleotide long non-coding RNA is filed under the name Musa acuminata (dwarf banana). RNAcentral's name for it is "long non-coding RNA (MACU_LNC005080)". Lineage: Eukaryota; Viridiplantae; Streptophyta; Magnoliopsida; Zingiberales; Musaceae. The record is from RNAcentral.
UGGAAUAAAUAUAAAUCAAGAUGGGAAUGUAAGAUGAAAUUAUCUUGGCAAGAAGGCAUUGAAUGAAAAGCUAAAUUUAUGAUGCAUCAUCAACAGCCCAAAGAUGUAAUGAAAUUAUCUUGGCAUGGAGGCACUGAAUGAAAAGCUAAAUUUAUGAUGCAACAUGAACAGCCCAAAGAUGUCAUUGAAAUCCACUUGUUUCCAC